GAAUUCUUGGUGAAAUUGAAAACACGUCCGGCUAGAAAUCGGGAGAUUCGGAGUUCGAAUCCCUGUGAGGGCA
RNAcentral lists this transfer RNA (73 nucleotides) under Stegodyphus mimosarum. It matches the Rfam family "tRNA". From Rfam's summary of the family: Transfer RNA (tRNA) molecules are approximately 80 nucleotides in length. Their secondary structure includes four short double-helical elements and three loops (D, anti-codon, and T loops). Further hydrogen bonds mediate the characteristic L-shaped molecular structure. tRNAs have two regions of fundamental functional importance: the anti-codon, which is responsible for specific mRNA codon recognition, and the 3' end, to which the tRNAs corresponding amino acid is attached (by aminoacyl-tRNA synthetases). tRNAs cope with the degeneracy of the genetic code in two manners: having more than one tRNA (with a specific anti-codon) for a particular amino acid; and 'wobble' base-pairing, i.e. permitting non-standard base-pairing at the 3rd anti-codon position. The record is from Rfam by way of RNAcentral. Lineage: Eukaryota; Metazoa; Arthropoda; Arachnida; Araneae; Eresidae.